This 2140-nucleotide long non-coding RNA is filed under the name Mus musculus (house mouse). Its description in RNAcentral is "long non-coding RNA chrX:137751590-137753730". Lineage: Eukaryota; Metazoa; Chordata; Mammalia; Rodentia; Muridae. The record is from RNAcentral.
ACACACACACACACACACACACACACAUUAUGUUCUUGCCAUAAAGAAACACCAUGACCAAGGCAACUCUUAUAAAAGAAAGCAUUUAACUGGGGGUUUGCUUACCAUUUCAGAGGUUUAGUCUAUUGUCAGUAUGGCAGAGAGCUUGGCAGCAGGCAGGUAUCGUGCUCGAGAAUUAACUUGGAGCUACAUUAUAUUAAGCAGAAAGAGAGAGACUGUGGGCCUGACAUGAACUUUUGAAACUCUAAAGCCUACUGUAAGUAACACUUCCUCUAACAAGACCACACCCCCUAACUCUUCUAAUUCUUUCAGAGUUCUACUUCCUGGUGACUAAGGAUACAAGUGUAUGAGGUUAUGGGGGCCAUUCUUAUUCAAACCACCACAAGUAUAUUGUACCUGUCAGCAUGACAAUUGUGCUUAAGAGAAUGAAUACUGCACUUACUGUUCUAGUCCACUUGUUUGAUGGGGUGUCUGGCAAAGUGAAUAAAACUUGUAUUUUAUUAGAAAGGUUCAAAAGAAACCAUAUUUUCAACAGUCUGUUUCUUGUAGCUAUAUUUUUUCUCCUCUCUUGAUCAAUAAGACCACUCAAUACUUACAUUAACUGUUGCUUAUCUAUUACUGCCUACAAGAGUGGCAUAAACAUUCUCUUUUAUAGCUGCAGUCAUCGGGGUCAGGUGAUACUAGUGGUGUAUUUAUCUGUCAGGGAAAGAUAUCAUUGGAUAGACAAUGUGUUUGAUUUGCUGACCAGGAUCUGGAUACUCUGAUUUUCAAGGUUUAAACUUGCUCUAGCUGACCUAUCAGCUGAAGUUAUAUAACCAUAAUUUCCAGCAUUUGAGGAUCUCAGCUAUUAGACCACAAAGUUGCUGUUAUAUUAUUUUAUAUUGUAUUUAAUAUGCUUAUGAUGGUUUAGAUUCAUUUCCCCUAAGUGUAUUUUUAAAAUAAUGGUCCAGGCCUUAAUGGAAUUAUGAUCUGUAUUUGAGAAAGUAAAGCUUUUAAAAUUAUAAAAGCCCAUUUAUUCUUUCUACAUCUCUUUCCCCCAUUUUUCCAUUUCAUAGCUUGAUUUAGACUUUGUGUUCUAAACCUAGUCCAUUAUUUAUUGAAGAAAGUUUACUUUUAAUUAGCCUCAGCUUUAUUUAAUCUCACUAUAAUAGUUUGAUUUUUAUAUAAAAUAUUCAAUCAUGCUUUACCAUAUGGUGAACAUCAUUUAUACAUAAAAGCUACUUGCUGUUAUACCUUUGGAAAUCAUCAGAGGAUCUCAGUAAGAGUUUUCCAGCCAUCUGCUUCUUUUUCAAACCCUGUGUCGAAGUAGACUUCUGCAGUGGUUAUUCUGAGGUCAAUAAGCUAUAGUGUCCAGUUAAAUGCCCUUGUGAGUAACCCUCUAGAAGUAAGGCCUCAUGAAGAGAUCACUUCAAUGGCUUGUAUAUCAAAGUAGAGUUUCCCAUUUUACUACAUUGGAAAAACACUUAAAUCUCUUUCUAUCCCACAUCUACUGUUUCAGCAGGGCAUCUUCCUGUCAGAAACCCAAUAGGUCCCAGUCUUACCAGUGGGGCUUAUUAUGAUGUAAUUAAUCAUAUUGUUAGUCUUCUUUACUUCUUUUUAAAAAUGCCAAGAGAAUUUAAUAAACCAAACAUCCCUGGGACAUUUAAAUAUCUGUUUAUCAAUUUUUAGUUAACAGAAAAUGAAAUGAUAAGAAAAAUAGGCUAAUGGGAUAUGAAUUAUCAACCAAAGUUCAGAAGUAGAGACAGAUCAUCACUAAUAUAAUAUAAUCAAUGGGGAGAUGAUUCAAUUUACAAAAAUUCAGUUUUGGCUCAAAUUUUCUAAAAUAUAUUUAUUGCACAGGGUGAUAGAUAUUUGUCUUUGGAUGGGCUCCUCAUUUUUUCAAUCAAGCCAUUUAGUGAUCUAACAGCUGAAUUAUUUCAGUGACUAGAAAUGUAUAUUGAGAUAUGAAGUGGACCUCUUGUUUUUAAUCUCUAUUCAUUUAAAUUUUAUAUAUACAUUUUUAUUUUUACACACACAUUUUACAUGUUUUUGACAGCAAAGUCAAAUGAGAUGUCAAUUGGGGAACAAAGAAGCAAAGUUUGACCACUGGUCAGUAAAAUUACUUACCAUUACAAACUGGUACCUAAAUUACUCAGUUAUU